CCAGGCGGCAUCUUCAUGUAAACCACUUCCUCCAAAUCACCGUGUAAGAAAGCAUUUUGGACAUCCAUCUGAUGGAGUUCCCAAUUCUUUGUAUCCGUAACGGCAAGAAAGGUGCGCACAGUAACCAUUUUUGCUGUAGGAGCAAAAGUCUCCUGAUAAUCUAUGCCUUCAACUUGAUUAUUUCCCAAUAUCACUAACCGCGCCUUGUAUCGUUCAACACUUCCAUCAGAAUUGUAUUUAAUUUUGUAUACCCACUUGCUUCCUAUUGCUUUCUUCCCAAAUGGCAGAUUUUCAACUGUCCAUGUACCAUUAUCCUCCAAAGCCUGUAUUUCUUUUCUCAUAGCCGCUCUCCACCAUUCAUCCUUAUUUGCUUCUGCAUAAGAGCUUGGUUCAUGUCCUGUAGUAAUGGCUGCCAAAAAACAUCGGUGUUGUGCAGAGAAUUUAUCAUAACCCACAUAAUGUGCUAUAGAGUAAGGCGUACCUGAGGAAUCAGAUUGGGAAGGUGAGCAUACCGAGGGGCUUGUUUUGAUGGCGUUUGUCACAUAAUCCUUCAAACGAACACUAGGUUGCUUGGCCCUUUGUCCCCUACCUAGUUGCUCUUCAACAACUUCACCUCUAUCCACUCCCUCACUGUUUUCAUGGAUCAAUUCUUCCGUUUCAGGAUUCACCUCACUUUCUCUACCCACACUUUCAUCGUGCUCCUUUCCCAAGUUGUUCUCUAAACCAUCAACUUCAUCACCCAACUCCUCAACUCCAUUUUUAAUGAGUUCAUCACCCAUUGUUUUCUCAUUUGCAUAUGGAAAUUCUGUUUCAGCGAAUACCACGUCUCUUGAUACAAAGUAUUCUUUAGUUUCCAAAUCAUACAAUCUCCAUCCCUUCUUUUCAAAUGGAUACCCAACAAAAACAUACCUACGACUUCUACUACCAAAUUUAUCUUUAUCCCGAUUCAGAUUAUGCGCAUAGCACAAACAACCGAAAACCCGAACGUGUUUGUAAGAAGGUACUUUCCCAAAGAGCAUCUCAUAUGGGGUUUUACCAUUUAAUAACAUAGAUAGAGUCCUAUUAAUCAAAUACCCGGCUGCAAGUACACAUUCUCCCCAAAAUUCUAUGGGUAAAUUUGCUUGGAAACGCAAGGCUCUUGCCACAUUAAGAAUAUGGCGAUGUUUUCUUUCCACUCGGCCAUUUUGUUGAGGUGUUCCUACACAGGAAGUCUGAUGCAACAUCCCUUGUUCAUCAAAAUAUUCUUUCAAGCACAUAAAUUCACUUCCGUUAUCACUUCUGACAAUUUUCACAUUUUUUUCAAAUUGGCGUUUAACCAUCACAACAAAUUUCUUAAGAACACAAGCUACUUCUUGUUUUCCAUUCAACAAAUAUAUCCAAAUAGCACGAGAGUAAUCAUCAACAAUUGUUAAGAAGUAAAUUGCUCCACAAGAAGUUGGGACUCUAUAAGGUCCCCACAAAUCACAAUGUAUCAAUUCAAAACAACCAUCAGCUUUAUUGUCACUAGAAAAGAAAAUCUCUCUUGUUUGCUUUGCUCUAAAACAAACUUCACAAGUUUUAUUAGUUUUCCUAACUAUGCUACCAGCUUCUGGAAUUAACUCUACCACCUUAUAAGAAGGAUGACCCAUUCUCUUAUGCCAAAGCUCAAAAGACCCCACAUCAGUUACCUUGCAAGCAUGUACCGAUGUCACUCCCUUGAGAAAGUACAGCCCCUCGCGUUGCUCACCCGCUCCAAUCAGGUUCCUCGAAUUUAGGUCCUGUAUAGCACAAAUUUUGUUAGUGAGUUGAAUAACCAAAUUUGAAUCAUUAAGUAGUUGUGAUACAGAGAUCAGAUUGCAAUUCAAAUUUGGCACAUAAAGGACUCGUUGCAAUUUCAAGUCUCCUCCAAGCAACACAGUUCCUUCUUUCACCGCCAAGGUCUUUUCUCCAUUAGGUAACCCGACUGAGCAUGGCACAAUGUCACGCAAUUCACUCAAAAAUGCCAACGUUCCUGUCAUAUGAUGGGAAGCUCCUGUGUCAAUAAUCCAAGGAAAUAUCCUCUGCGUACCUGUCAGCCUCUCAUUGCCACCAUUCUGACAAGAAUUCAACAUGCCCAGCAAAGCAGCCCACUGCUCUUCAUUUAAUCCACUAAGACCCUUUCGAUCUGAAUCUGUCACAAUUCCACGCCCACCAUCAACUCCAGUUGCUUGUGUGGCGUUGGCACGAGCAACUCCUCCCUUGCUACGUCCUGCUCCAUUGCCACGCUUUUGACCACCUCCUCGUCCAGCAGAAGUUCCACGUGGUCUAUUACCCCACCAUUCUGGAUAACCUAUCAGCUGGAAACAACUUUCAGCAUCAUGUCCCUCUCGGUUGCAAUUAGAACAAAUUGAGGAUUUGUCUUUAUCCCCCCCUGAAUUUCGACUUCCUGCUCGAAUUGCAAAACUCAUAGGAUUGCCUCUUUCUUCCUUGGUUCGUGUCAUAGUUCGCACCUGCUCUUGCUGAACAACCAUAGCAUAGGCACGAUUCAAAUUGGGCAAGGGUUCAGUGCUCAAAAUAUUAGAGCGCACUAUUUCAUAUCCUUCUUCAUCCAAGCACAUCAAAAACUGAUGAACUCUCUCUUCUUCGUGCUUUCUUUCCAAUUCAAUGGUAAGAUUGCAUCUGCAGCCUGCACAGAUACACACUGGUAUCUGAUCAUAGUUGUUUAUUUCAUCCCAUAACAUUUUGAGUCUUCCAAAAUAGGACACGAUCGGUUGACCUUCCUGCCUACAAUUCGCCAGAUCCGGUCUCAGUUGCUGUAUUCGUGGACCAUUCCCAAUCGAGAACCUCUGUUUAAUAUCCUCCCACAGAUCCUUUACGUUCUCCAUGUGAGAGAUGGUCGAGCGAAGCGUCGAUUCAAUGGUGUUAAACACCCAAGAAACCAGCAUAGAGUUAACCGUCCACCAAUCUUCGAGUUCCAGUGAGUCAUCUGCUGGUUGCUUGACAGAUCCAUCAAUAAAACCAUAUUUCUUUUUGGCCCGCAAUGCAGUCCGCAUAGCUCGCGCCCAUUCUUCGUAAUUCUCGCCCUUCAACUGAAAUUGGGUAAUCAAGUUACCUGGGUUGUCAUUCGAAUUCAAUGUGUAAGAACUAGAAGUUUUCUUCCCUGAUCCAGAACUCUCAUUUUUCUUUUCAUCAGCCAUGGCUCUGAUACCAUGUAAAAGAACUAAGAAAUUUUGGAAUAAGAAUUCUGAUCUUUAUUGCCCCAGAAAUCAAAGAUAUAUAUAAAAAAUUACAGCUAACAAAUAGGUUCCUAAUCAAGCUAAACUACCAAAAUUGUAUCAGAAUCAUACAACAAAAGGUAAGAACAAAUAUGCACACAAAAAUUCCUAAAUAAAUGCCCUAAAUAAAUGAAAAAUAAGUGACAGCUAACAGCUGCCUUUCCAAUACCCCCCUCAAGUUGAAGCAUGGAGAUCUCGAAUGCCCAACUUGCAAAGAAGAAAGUCAAACUGAUUCUUUCCCAACGCCUUUGUGAAGAU
RNAcentral lists this unclassified non-coding RNA (3491 nucleotides) under Hevea brasiliensis (rubber tree). The record is from RNAcentral. Lineage: Eukaryota; Viridiplantae; Streptophyta; Magnoliopsida; Malpighiales; Euphorbiaceae.